GGGAGAUAUCUUUCUUUUCCCCAUCUCAUUCCCUCCGUUGACCGACAGCGGCAGCAGGCGCCGUUCAGACUUCUGCCCUCGCCGGAAGAGGGGUUAUCGCGGUGGCGGACAUGGUCGUGGGUUCGAAGAGGGAAGAACGGUUGUUGGUGCCUAGGGUUUUCAGAGAUGACUUAGGGGCUAGACUGUUGGGUGAGCGGCGGUCGGAGGCGACGCCGGCGAAGGGGAAGAGGUUGGCCGGAUUUGUGGUUUUCUGAGAGAGAUUUGUGGUUUUCUGUGGUUUUUCAGAGAUGGCUUAGGGGCGGUGGUCGGAGGUGAAGCCCUUCGCCGGGUAAUCGAAGCAGGAGAGGUGGAGUUGGUGGAAUCUGUGUGUGAUUAUUUGAGGGAGAUUUGAGGGAGUGUGGCGAUGGCUUCGCCGCCGCUGAGCAAGGGGACGUCGCCGCGUGGCUCGGCUGCAGAACCUAGAGCAGAGGAGGCGAUUUGGGGGAUAUGGUUUUGCAGAGGGCGCCGCCGCCGCUUGAGAAGCGGUCGGCGGCUCUGUUGGUGGAGGAGGGCGGCGGAGGGGGGCCUCUGCUGGUGGGAGAAGGCGGCGGCUCUGUUGGUGGAGGAGGGCGGUGAAGGGGAGAGGGGUGGCUCUGCUGGUGGGAAUGGGAAAGUCAGCGGUUCUGUUGGUGGAUGAGGACGAGGAGUUUGUGACGUGUGUGUGUGUCUGAGAGAGGAGAGAGGUGUGUUUGUGUGAUUUGGCAAUUCCGGCAGCCACGUUGGCAAUUCCGGCAAUCACAUUGGCAAUUCGACUGCCACCUCAGACUAAUUUGGGCGAAAUUGUAAAUGAUGGGAUAAUUGCAAAUAAAUUAUAAAUUCAUGUAUUUUUUUGCCCAAAAAAAAAGUGAUGAUAUAAAUCAGAAAAUUGAUAAAUUUGAUGUAUUUUAUGGCAAUAACCCC
Molecule: long non-coding RNA, 939 nt
Filed under: Salvia miltiorrhiza (redroot sage)
Lineage: Eukaryota; Viridiplantae; Streptophyta; Magnoliopsida; Lamiales; Lamiaceae
Description: long non-coding RNA (SMIL_LNC011072)
Source: RNAcentral